CAGAGACUGCGAGCGUAUUCGGAUCACUGGGCGUAAAGGGUGCGCAGGCGGCCAAGUGUGUGAGGCGUGAAAGCCCGGGGCUUAACCCCGGAAUUGCACCUCAAACUACAUGGCUAGAGCAUUGGAGAGGGUAGCAGAAUUCAUGGUGUAGCAGUGAAAUGCGUAGAUAUCAUGAGGAAUACCAGAGGCGAAGGCGGCUACCUGGACAAUUGCUGACGCUCAGGCACGAAAGCGUGGGGAGCAAAAGGGAUUAGAUACCCCUGUAGUCCACGCCCUAAACGGUGCACACUAGGUCUUGGCGGAUUCGACCCCGCCAGGGCCCCAGCUAACGCGUUAAGUGUGCCGCCUGAGGACUACGGCCGCAAGGCUA
This 370-nucleotide ribosomal RNA is filed under the name uncultured organism. RNAcentral describes it as "bacterial SSU rRNA". It matches the Rfam family "Bacterial small subunit ribosomal RNA", at positions 526 to 896 of the family's 1533-position model. The record is from RNAcentral.